GUUGGCAGUAAGGAGAAAAAGAUCUACCAGGCAAGUGCCUGCAAGUCAUAGUACCUCAGGGAUUCCAAUCAACAUUUGCUUGCUGGUGAGUGGUUCUACUUCAAGUUAAGAAACAAAUUCUCAUGGCAAACUGCUUGGAUACUGUUUCCCAAAAGUUAGAAGAACCAAGCCUGCAAGGUGGCAUGGAUUCCUCCGGAAGGACUCCACCCAACUUUGGUCUCAGCAGGCCCUGCUGAGAACAGCCUCGUCACAGAAAAGUGCUGAGGAGGAUGCAAAAGUCUCCAUCAAGGUGCCACUGUGAAAGAAGAAACAUAUUUGCUGGACAAAGCUCUCCUUGAAGACAGGACCAUGUCUUAUUCAACUUUGUAAUCCCAGGACCUGGCACAAAAGCUGGCACCUAUUCAGUGCCUUGGUUCUUUGAGUGUGGCCCUGGACCAGAAGCAUCAACAUCAACCAGGAACUUACUAGAAAUGCACUUUCUUGGGUGCCCCACAAGACCUGCUGAAUCAGAAACUCUGGGGAUGUAGUUCAACACCUGUGCGCUGACAAGCCCUCCAGGUGAUCCGGAUACAUGCUCACGUUUGAGAACCGUGGCUUUACGGGAGAAAACAGUCAUGAUUGCUUACAACAGAAUACCAUAAAUUGCUUUUUGAAAAGCAGUGCAAUAUAUGGGCAUACUAAAAUUGAAGCAUGACAGAUAAAUAUGACAUCAGGAUGUCAUCCAAUGAAAAAUAGAUUUUUUAUUCUGUGUCCUGGACACGGCAUUGCUGAUUUUUAUUUAUCCACCUUUCUCCUGCCUGAGGGAAAACAAGUAUUUAAAAUGCAUUGCUAUUUGCAUUGAUAUAUUUGUCUGCUCUUCUCUGUCUGGCUCCAUGCUCUGUGGGGCUGACUCCUGUGGACUGGAUCUCCUGAGCUUGGUGCUGACUGGAUGCUGGUUGGUUCAACCAAUAAAAGUCACCAUCCAGGGACUGGAGGACAUGAUGAAAGGGAGGUUGGGGCAUUUCCUCCAGCUGUCACGCACUGUCUCUGAAGAGCUUGUCUGCUCCCUGAAGCCUCAAGAUCAUUCCUCAAAGACACGGAGUGCUGAUUGGGACAUCCCGCAGGUUAAAGUGAGUUUCGGACUCGAUGGUUCUGCACAGCAAAGCUGGGCCGUGUCCCACUUCAACCUCACUUUAUGGGAUUUACGGCACAUUUUGAAGAUGAGUGAUUAGAAGAUAAAGACUGGAGAAGUUUGCUCCUUGGUGACUGAGCUAAUGAAGAGAAAGGAAGGCGAACAAGAAUAUGGGAAUAUUCAACAUUCUUACUGUCUCCCCUUACUGUCAAACCAAUCUAGGGGGUUUCUUACUGAGCUCGGAUUAAGACCCAGAUUUUUGACACAGUUAUGUUGUUAGUCAUUUCUGGUGUCUAGUUUAAAGAUGCAAACAACGUCGCUGAAAAAAAUGAUUAAAUAAUUCUUGAAGAUUUUGG
This 1467-nucleotide long non-coding RNA is filed under the name Equus caballus (horse). RNAcentral describes it as "lncRNA (ENSECAG00000042984.2)". Lineage: Eukaryota; Metazoa; Chordata; Mammalia; Perissodactyla; Equidae. The record is from RNAcentral.